Bactrocera oleae (olive fruit fly) is the source of this 337-nucleotide non-coding RNA. The record is from RefSeq and is a predicted model, not a curated record. Lineage: Eukaryota; Metazoa; Arthropoda; Insecta; Diptera; Tephritidae.
GAGUCCUUAUCUGAAUUUAAACACGCAAAGGACGAUCCAAAACCACAACUACACCAGAAAUCAUUGAGCAAGUUCAUAAUAUUAUUUACAUAUAAAAAGUUAGUGCCGCACAAGUUAACAAUUCAACAUAAACUGAAUCGAAAACAAUUUAUCAGCAUGGUCUGGAGCAUUUUAAGCAGAAUAAAACCGAUUUCUUGCGUGUUUAUAAGUACGGAUGAGAGUUGGAUCUACCACAUAAUCCUAAAUUGAAACAAAAACGUCUACAAUGGACUGAAGCUGUUUGUUCAGCUACAAAGCAGGAAUUUUGUUAAUUGAUUAUAUGCAGAAAGGUAAAACA